CGAGCCCAUCUCUCGCGACUUCAGCGGCGUCUUGCAGACUCACUCUACGCCAACCUCGGCCUUCCCCAUCUCGCCAGUACGUUUCCAGAGUCGUUUCCGAUGCCAACCCUUCUCUAUCUCUUGUGAUUUUGUUAUUUUUGGAUGAUAUUGGUAAUUUAUUUUGAUCUGUAGUGUUGGAUUUGCUUUGAAAUCUAAAGAUUUAUGUUUGAUUUGUUUCGACUCUUGUGAUCUGUAAUAUUGGAUUUGUUUUGUUUUGGUUAUUGAGAUUUGAAGAACCAAUGGAUUGAAAUGAAUCAAACCAAUUAUUUCGGUUUAAUUCAAUUCAUUUAGUUCUUUACUUUGGUUCGAUUUUAUUUUUCAAAAGAAGAUACUUCGGAAUUUUGGUUUGUUCGGUUCCUUUUU
Molecule: unclassified non-coding RNA, 402 nt
Filed under: Hevea brasiliensis (rubber tree)
Lineage: Eukaryota; Viridiplantae; Streptophyta; Magnoliopsida; Malpighiales; Euphorbiaceae
Source: RNAcentral